CAUUCAACAAUCUUCCAUUAAUUCCCCUUAUGAUAGAGCGGCAGCAAUUCUCCCGCGCGAAAGAGAUUGGACACAUAAUUACAGAUUGCGCCGUACGCAACGAGCAACGACGCUACAUUGCCUACUGGAACCUAAGAACCAUUCUAGAUUUGAGUUUUGUCUGACAUACAGCAAGAGCGGAGGAGUUGCUGAUUUUGACCGUUUCGACCCUUUCGCACUCAAUACUCAAAGGUGUCAAGCCACAGCCAUCCUCGGCCAGAAGAUCAGCUUUGUGAGCCAGAAGAAGCAUGAUGUUGUUGAUGAAUCCAUAUUCAGCACACAAAUGAAGAGGAGUCUGGAAGAAAAAUCAAGCAGGACUGAUAAUAGGCGUAAUUCAUUAAUCUCUGAAAGAUGCAGAUAAAAAGUACCAAGCAUGAAGAAGCCUUACCUUUUAGUACCUAUGAGAUGCCUUUAUUGCAUGAUGACAUCAUUAUUAAGUUGGGUUCUCCCAAUUCACUCAAGUGAGUGACCAAGCAAUUUAUCUUAAAUCUCUCUGUAAAUACUCUUACUCGAUACUUGAUACAUUGCUUGCCAAACAAUCCAUCUUCAAUAUUUCUUACUUCUUCGGUAAUGGACAGCGAAGUCAAUCACUAAAAUACUUUUGUUUUGUUUGAAUAAUUACUUGUCUUUGAAUGAUUACUUGAAAUUUAUUUCUUAUAAUGCACAAGGUUUUUUUCUCUUGGCAGUGGCACUGAUUGUUGUAAUGACCAUUAUGUAUUUAGUAAACUGUCCUCAAUAAAAACUAAAGAUCUAUCUAUUUAAAAGAAGUUGUAGUUGUAGAGAGAAGUGAGAUUUUAUCUAUUAAUCUAUUUCUAUUAAAAUCUAUCCUCUAGACUGGCUGCUUGGAAGGGGCUAAGCUAAAGUUGCUUACUUUGCAAGUUGGUCAAUAUUGAGAAAGAAAGAUGCACUAUGUUCCAAUUUUGGGUGCUGUAAGAUGCCACUUUGACACUCUAGAAGUGUAAACUUACAGCUUUUACUUAGGAAAAAUACUUAGUGCCAUAAAUGGUGCAAUAAGUGCUGUCCUGACUUAAAUUUUAGACUGAUUGACUAGACUCACAUUCAUGCAUUGGCGUAUAAUACAAUCUAGACCGCGCAUUGGGCCCGACUUUAGGCGGGGAAGGUAAGACAGCUAGGGGGGUAAAUCAGGGCAAAAACGCACCUUCAGCCUAGUUGAUACCGCCGGAUAUACGAACUAAGUGUACCCGUAUCAGGCAACGGCACUGACAAGACUGGCAUUUCCACGAAUUCCACC
RNAcentral lists this long non-coding RNA (1291 nucleotides) under Bemisia tabaci. RNAcentral describes it as "lncRNA ENSASIAIIG010148". The record is from RNAcentral. Lineage: Eukaryota; Metazoa; Arthropoda; Insecta; Hemiptera; Aleyrodidae.